UACAGAGGGUGCAAGCGUUGUUCGGAAUUAUUGGGCGUAAAGCGCGUGUAGGCGGCUUUGCAAGUCGGGUGUGAAAGCCCUCAGCUUAACUGAGGAAGGGCGCCCGAAACUGCAGAGCUUGAGUACCGGAGAGGAUGGCGGAAUUCCCCAAGUAGAGGUGAAAUUCGUAGAUAUGGGGAGGAACAUCGGUGGCGAAGGCGGCCAUCUGGACGGAUACUGACGCUGAGACGCGAAAGCGUGGGUAGCAAACAGG
This 253-nucleotide ribosomal RNA is filed under the name uncultured bacterium. RNAcentral describes it as "partial 16S ribosomal RNA". It matches the Rfam family "Bacterial small subunit ribosomal RNA", at positions 524 to 776 of the family's 1533-position model. The record is from RNAcentral.